Molecule: long non-coding RNA, 1362 nt
Organism: Homo sapiens (human)
Lineage: Eukaryota; Metazoa; Chordata; Mammalia; Primates; Hominidae
Exons: 2
Source: RefSeq, a predicted model, not a curated record
CUCGGUUCACACUCCCCUACAGUACUGAUUGGCAUGAAAUAAACUACUUGCACUCAAAUCCGUGACUGAAGGUCUGCUUCUUGGGGAGCCCAGGAUAAGAUGCCCCACGUCUCUCCUCCUUCCUUCGAGGAAGCCUAGUGUCUUGCUUCUGACUGUUUUCCUUCUUUUUCAAGCACAGAAAAAUGGGCCAUUUCGACAGACAUAACAGUUUGCUCACUGAAUUGCUGCCCAUUGUACUUGGAAUGAGUAAUAACAACAAAAGCCUCCCUAACACAGUCUACCAGAACCUGCAGUAUCUGAGCCCAGCCUGCCUCCAGUCCUGUCCUCAAUCACUGCUCAUAGUUUUAUUGCAGGGAGCCGAAGGCCCAUGGGAAAUGACCAACUCGGCAUUCCACUGGAGGCUAUAUGAUCAAACAGCAAACUGUUUAUCAUGAAUGCAGGAUGUGGGCAAACUCACGACUGCUCCUGCCGACAGAAGGUUUGCUGGAGGCAAUCACUCCCUGGUACUGAGGUUAUCUAUGGUGACAUCUAGAGCCUCUUGUUCGAGGAAUGCAGUCUUGCAAGCCUACUCUGGACUGAGCAGCUGACCCCUUCUUCCACCCCUCUUCUCACUAUCUCUUUUGCCUAAUAAAUAUGGAGGGCUGUGUAAAGCUCAGGGUCCUUGUCCACUAGAGGCAAGGUGCCCCCUGACCCCUUCUUCCAAAUAUACUCUUUUGUCUCUUGUCUUUUAUUCCCAGGUUCGCCCCCUUGGUUCAGUCCCCCUAGGUCCAUGCAGGCUACAAGUGGCACUUGAACAGGCAACAGUCCGAACACAGGGACUAUGAGGACAUGAACGAAGAAGGUCUGCCGGAGCAGAGGAACUGAAAUUGAAAGGUGAACAGGGAUGCCGGGCCGGGUCUGCCAGCAGCGGAUAUAAGUCUGUAAAAUCAGAUGGACUGCCAAUUGGAGAAUGAGAGCUGCCCAGCCUGGCCUUAUGUUCUUUCAAUUAAUUCAUAAACAGAAAGGGGGAUAUGCAGGGAGCCGAAGGCCCGUAGGAUUCGGCAUUCCACUGGAGGCUAUGUGAUCAAACAGCAAACUGUUUAUCAUGAAUGCAGAAUGUGGGCAAACUCACAACUGCUCCUGCCGACAGAAGGUUUGCUGGAGGCAAUCACUCCCUGGCACUGAGGUUAUCUACUGCGACAUCUAGAGCCUGUUGUUCGAGGAAUGCAGUCUUGCAAGCCUACUCUGGACUGAGCAGCUGACCCCUUCUUCCACCCCCCUUCUCACUAUCUCUUUUGCCUAAUAAAUAUGGAGGGCUGUGUAAAGCUCAGGGCCCUUGUCUACUAGAAGCAAAGUGCCCCCUGACUCCUUCUUCCAAAUACA